RNAcentral lists this ribosomal RNA (329 nucleotides) under Buitinga sp. Uga78. RNAcentral's name for it is "partial 12S ribosomal RNA". The record is from RNAcentral. Lineage: Eukaryota; Metazoa; Arthropoda; Arachnida; Araneae; Pholcidae.
UUUUUAAUAUUUUUAGGUAAUAUUAAAUAAUAAAACCAAUAUAUAAUGGCGGUUUUAACAACUUAGAGAAACUCGCUUUAUAAUCGAUAAUUCCCGAUAAUUUUUACUUAUUUUACAAAAAUUUAUAUACCGCCGUUCAAGACUUAAUAAAAAAAUUAAAUUCAUUUCAUAAAACUUUAUAAUAAAUCAGGUCAAGGUGUAAUUUAUUAAUAAGAAAAAGUAAGUUACAUUAAAAAUAAUUUAAGGCUUAAAAAUAAAAACUUAUAUAAAAAAGAAUUUAAAUGUAAAUUUUAAUUAAAAUUUUAAAUAGAAUUUUUAAAUUAAAACGC